Molecule: ribosomal RNA, 253 nt
Filed under: uncultured bacterium
Lineage: Bacteria
Description: partial 16S ribosomal RNA
Rfam family: Bacterial small subunit ribosomal RNA
Source: RNAcentral
UACGUAGGGUGCAAGCGUUAAUCGGAAUUACUGGGCGUAAAGCGUGCGCAGGCGGUUUUGUAAGUCAGAUGUGAAAUCCCCGGGCUUAACCUGGGAACUGCGUUUGAAACUACAAGGCUAGAGUGUGGCAGAGGGGGGUGGAAUUCCACGUGUAGCAGUGAAAUGCGUAGAGAUGUGGAGGAACACCGAUGGCGAAGGCAGUGUCCUGGGGAGUACCUGACGCUCAGGUGCGAAAGCCAAGGGAGCAAACAGG